This 455-nucleotide ribosomal RNA is filed under the name uncultured bacterium. RNAcentral describes it as "bacterial SSU rRNA". It matches the Rfam family "Bacterial small subunit ribosomal RNA", at positions 340 to 784 of the family's 1533-position model. The record is from RNAcentral.
UACGGGAGGCAGCAGUGGGGAAUAUUGCACAAUGGGCGAAAGCCUGAUGCAGCUAUGCCGCGUGUAUGAAGAAGGCCUUAGGGUUGUAAAGUACUUUCAUCGGGGAGGAAAAACAAAACUAAUAAUUUUAUUUCUUGACGUUACCCGAAAAAGAAGCACCGGCUAACUCCGUGCCAGCAGCCGCGGUAAUACGGAGGGUGCUAGCGUUAAUCAGAAUUACUGGGCGUAAAGAGCACGUAGGUGGUUUUUUUAAGUCAGAUGUGAAAUCCCUGGGCUUAACCUAGGAACUGCAUUUUGAAACUGAAAUACUAGAGUAUCGUAGAGGGAGGUAGAAUUCUAGGUGUAGCGGUGAAAUGCGUAGAUAUCUGGAGGAAUACCUGUGGCGAAAGCGGCCUCCUAAACGAAUACUGACACUGAGGGUGCGAAAGCGUGGGGAGCAAACGAGGGAUUAGAUA